GUCGCUGUAGUUUAGUGGUUAGAAUUCCACGUUGUGGCCGUGGAGACCCUGGAUCAAACCCGGGCAGCGACA
This 72-nucleotide transfer RNA is filed under the name Scenedesmus sp. NREL 46B-D3. It matches the Rfam family "tRNA". Rfam says of the family: Transfer RNA (tRNA) molecules are approximately 80 nucleotides in length. Their secondary structure includes four short double-helical elements and three loops (D, anti-codon, and T loops). Lineage: Eukaryota; Viridiplantae; Chlorophyta; Chlorophyceae; Sphaeropleales; Scenedesmaceae. The record is from Rfam by way of RNAcentral.